UACGUAGGGUGCAAGCGUUGUCCGGAAUUAUUGGGUGUAAAGAGCUCGUAGGCGGCUUGUCACGUCGGAUGUGAAAAUCCAGGGCUCAACCCUGGACCUGCAUUCGAUACGGGCAGGCUAGAAUUCGGUAGGGGAGACUGGAAUUCCUGGUGUAGCGGUGAAAUGCGCAGAUAUCAGGAGGAACACCGGUGGCGAAGGCGGGUCUCUGGGCCGAUAUUGACGCUGAGGAGCGAAAGCGUGGGGAGCGAACAGG
This 253-nucleotide ribosomal RNA is filed under the name uncultured bacterium. RNAcentral describes it as "partial 16S ribosomal RNA". It matches the Rfam family "Bacterial small subunit ribosomal RNA", at positions 524 to 776 of the family's 1533-position model. The record is from RNAcentral.